RNAcentral lists this unclassified non-coding RNA (1643 nucleotides) under Pomacea canaliculata. Its description in RNAcentral is "uncharacterized LOC112568582, transcript variant X1". Lineage: Eukaryota; Metazoa; Mollusca; Gastropoda; Architaenioglossa; Ampullariidae. The record is from RNAcentral.
ACAAUUAUGGAGUCACCGACACGACAGUAUGGUGGUAAACCGCGAUGACUGGACUCUAAUUACUAGUUUUAAGGUCGCAAAAAUCUUCUCCGCUCUUGAUAACUAUGGAGCCAAGCUCAACUGUACCUCCUUGAAUUCUACACUCAACAAAACACUGGUGCCAUACAAUGAGUCAUAUUUGGUAUACAACGUGGGCUACUUCCAGCUCACUUCCUUCAAGUCACAGUUUGACAGUCAUGUUAACCUCACAUGUUUAUCCACAGUAGUCGUUUACCCUGGUGCCAGACUUGAAAGACUUAACGAAAGGGGAGAGGUCAAAGAGUCAUCCACGCCACAAAUAGUUUGUGACCUUACCUACAUUCCCGAGGAGGGUCCCUUCAGAUGCAGCUGUAACACCCAGAGUCUAGGGAACCCGGAGGGCAGACUGACUGGCGUGUAGGAGAACGAGUUCUAACUUCCGGUGACUACGGCGUCAAACAACUUCCGCUUCCGUCCGACAUCAUUAACCGCAGCCACCAAGGGGAAAAACUCGUGUGUGAAGUGGAAUGGCUUUACGAUAAACGUUCAGAGAUAAAUAUAACGGUGGCGUAUGGACCGGAUGACGUGGUCAUUAAGCCCUACAUUAUUCUUUUUCGAAAAGACAAUAGCUACGAGACAUUCCUUGCUUCCUACCCGGCGACCAGAGGCCAUGUCUACUUACCUCCAGACGACACAUCCAAUGUAACCCUGGUAUGCGAGGCAAGGAAUGUCCAGCCCUUGAAGUCAGAAAUGGUCACGUGGGGCGGCCUGUGCUACGGUCAGCGAGGUUUUCAUUGUAAACUUACCUUCAAAGGUAAAAAGGAUGACGGGAAGGAGGUCACGUGCUCAGUCAUCAACAACGUUAACAACGACCACAAAGCCAACACCAGCAUCAUCCUCAACGUUUCAGAUGGACCAGAUAAGGUCCACAUAAACAUCCAGUACCACACUAUUUCUACACCUGGCAAGUGCCUCGUGAUCCUUACCUGUGAGGCACCUGGGGUCAAGCCCUCGACCUGUGACAUGUUUACGUGGGAACGGGAUGUGUAAAGACCAACAGGGCUCCAGGUGUGUCAUCAUAGUCGACAAAGAAGAGGAUGACGGGAAGAAGUGACGUGCACUGUCACCAAUCAUGUCAACCAAGACACACAGCCAGCGCCAUUGUCACACUGACGUUGUCAGGGUGUGAAGACCAAUGGGAACUCCAUGAGUAAAGGUGUGGGCACUGGUAUAGGCGUUACCCUGACCAUAGAAAUACUGGUGGUAGGUGUGGUGGUGGUGGUUGUUAUCUGGAGAAGUCGACGAUUUCAGAGAGACCAAAUGUACGACAAACCCAGUCAGGACGCAGGUCUGAGUAUGAAUAACGCAUACGACACGAUGAGAGCAGGUCCUGAUACUCCUACUGACAAAUCUCAGAAAUCUACCGCACCUUCUUCCCUGGGUGAAAUUUAUGAAAACUUGACAUUCGCCAUGAUAAAAAAGCCGGUCAAAGCAAAACAACAACACAGAACACAAAGAACAGUGAUAUAACCAGUUGCGUUAUGUCAUAAGCAAUGUUACAUUAAAUGAAGGCGAGAGAACGGACAGAAAACACAGUAAUAAUUGUCUACACAACAUGGUUAAGU